GACGAACGCUGGCGGCGUGCUUAACACAUGCAAGUCGAACGGAAAGGCCCUGCUUUUGUGGGGUGCUCGAGUGGCGAACGGGUGAGUAACACGUGAGUAACCUGCCCUAGACUUUGGGAUAACUUCAGGAAACUGGGGCUAAUACCGGAUAGGAGCUCCCGCUGCAUGGUGGGGGUUGGAAAGUUUCGGCGGUUGGGGAUGGACUCGCGGCUUAUCAGCUUGUUGGUGGGGUAGUGGCUUACCAAGGCUGUGACGGGUAGCCGGCCUGAGAGGGUGACCGGGGACAAGGGGACUGAGAGACGGCGCAGACGCGUACGGGAGGCAGCAGGGGGAAAUAUGGCACAAUGGGCGGAAGCCUGAGGCAGCAACGCCGCGGGCGGGAUGACGGCCUGCGGGUUGAGAACCGCAGUCGCCUGUGACGAAGCGUGAGUGACGGUAACGGGUAAAGAAGCACCGGCUAACUACGUG
Molecule: ribosomal RNA, 468 nt
Filed under: uncultured bacterium
Lineage: Bacteria
Description: partial 16S ribosomal RNA
Rfam family: Bacterial small subunit ribosomal RNA
Source: RNAcentral